GACCUCUCACUAUUGGAGCGGCCGAUAUCGGAUUAGCUAGUUGGUGGGGUAAAGGCUCACCAAGGCAACGAUCCGUAGCUGGUUUGAGAGGACGACCAGCCACACUGGGACUGAGACACGGCCCAGACUCGUACGGGAGGCAGCAGUGGGGAAUUUUGGACAAUGGGGGAAACCCUGAUCCAGCCAUCCCGCGUGUAUGAUGAAGGCCUUCGGGUUGUAAAGUACUUUUGGCAGAGAAAAAAAGGUAUCCCCUAAUACGGGAUACUGCUGACGGUAUCUGCAGAAUAAGCACCGGGUAACUACGUGCCAGCAGCCGCGGUAAUACGUAGGGUGCAAGCGUUAAUCGGAAUUACUGGGCGUAAAGCGUGUGUAGGCGGUUCGGAAAGAAAGAUGUGAAAUCCCAGGGCUCAACCUUGGAACUGCAUUUUUAACUGCCGAGCUAGAGUAUGUCAGAGGGGGGUAGAAUUCCACGUGUAGCACUGAAAUGCGUAGAUAUGUGGAGGAAUACCGAUGGCGAAGGCAGCCCCCUGGGAUAAUACUGACGCUCAGACACGAAAGCGUGGGGAGCAAACAGGAUUAGAUACCCUGGUAGUCCACGCCCUAAACGAUGUCAACUAGCUGUCGGGGCCGUUAGGCCUUAUUAGCGCAGCUGACGCGUGAAGUUGACCGCCUGGGGAGUACGGUCGCAAGAUUAAAACUCAAAGGAAUUGACGGGGACCCCCACAAGCGGUGGAUGAUGUGUAUUAAUUCG
RNAcentral lists this ribosomal RNA (751 nucleotides) under Alcaligenes sp. Its description in RNAcentral is "bacterial SSU rRNA". It matches the Rfam family "Bacterial small subunit ribosomal RNA", at positions 209 to 953 of the family's 1533-position model. The record is from RNAcentral. Lineage: Bacteria; Pseudomonadati; Pseudomonadota; Betaproteobacteria; Burkholderiales; Alcaligenaceae.